GAGUUACUAAUAAUCGCACAGCAGAAUGCUGCGGUGAAUGCGUUCCCGGGUCUUGUACACACCGCCCGUCACACCACGGGAGUUGGAGACGCCCGAAGCCGAUUAUCUAACCUUUUGGAAGAAGUCGGCGAAGGUGGAAUCAAUAACUGGGGUGAAGUCGUAACAAGGUAGCCGUAUCGGAAGGUGCGGCUGGAUCACCUCCUUUCUAAGGAGA
Molecule: ribosomal RNA, 214 nt
Filed under: Clostridioides difficile
Lineage: Bacteria; Bacillati; Bacillota; Clostridia; Peptostreptococcales; Peptostreptococcaceae
Description: partial 16S ribosomal RNA
Rfam family: Bacterial small subunit ribosomal RNA
Source: RNAcentral